GACGAACGCUGGCGGCGUGCUUAACACAUGCAAGUCGAACGGAAAGGCCCUGCUUUUGUGGGGUGCUCGAGUGGCGAACGGGUGAGUAACACGUGAGUAACCUGCCCUUGACUUUGGGAUAACUUCAGGAAACUGGGGCUAAUACCGGAUAGGAGCUCCUGCUGCAUGGUGGGGGUUGGAAAGUUUCGGCGGUUGGGGAUGGACUCGCGGCUUAUCAGCUUGUUGGUGGGGUAGUGGCUUACCAAGGCUUUGACGGGUAGCCGGCCUGAGAGGGUGACCGGCCACAUUGGGACUGAGAUACGGCCCAGACUCCUACGGGAGGCAGCAGUGGGGAAUAUUGCACAAUGGGCGGAAGCCUGAUGCAGCAACGCCGCGUGCGGGAUGACGGCCUUCGGGUUGUAAACCGCUUUCGCCUGUGACGAAGCGUGAGUGACGGUAAUGGGUAAAGAAGCACCGGCUAACUACGUGCCAGCAGCCGCGGUGAUACGUAGGGUGCGAGCGUUGUCCGGAUUUAUUGGGCGUAAAGGGCUCGUAGGUGGUUGAUCGCGUCGGAAGUGUAAUCUUGGGGCUUAACCCUGAGCGUGCUUUCGAUACGGGUUGACUUGAGGAAGGUAGGGGAGAAUGGAAUUCCUGGUGGAGCGGUGGAAUGCGCAGAUAUCAGGGGGAACACCAGUGGCGAAGGCGGUUCUCUGGGCCUUUCCUGACGCUGAGGAGCGAAAGCGUGGGGAGCGAACAGGCUUAGAUACCCUGGUAGUCCACGCUGUAAACGGUGGGUACUAGGUGUGGGGUCCAUUCCACGGGUUCCGUGCCGUAGCUAACGCUUUAAGUACCCCGCCUGGGGAGUACGGCCGCAAGGCUAAAACUCAAAGGAAUUGACGGGGCCCCGCACAAGCGGCGGAGCAUGCGGAUUAAUUCGAUGCAACGCGUAGAACCUUACCUGGGUUUGACAUGGAUCGGGAGUGCUCAGAGAUGGGUGUGCCUCUUUUGGGGUCGGUUCACAGGUGGUGCAUGGCUGUCGUCAGCUCGUGUCGUGAGAUGUUGGGUUAAGUCCCGCAACGAGCGCAACCCUUGUUCACUGUUGCCAGCACGUUAUGGUGGGGACUCAGUGGAGACCGCCGGGGUCAACUCGGAGGAAGGUGGGGAUGACGUCAAGUCGUCAUGCCCCUUAUGUCCAGGGCUUCACGCAUGCUACAAUGGCUGGUACAGAGAGUGGCGAGCCUGUGAGGGUGAGCGAAUCUCGGAAAGCCGGUCUCAGUUCGGAUUGGGGUCUGCAACUCGACCUCAUGAAGUCGGAGUCGCUAGUAAUCGCAGAUCAGCAACGCUGCGGUGAAUACGUUCCCGGGGCU
Molecule: ribosomal RNA, 1346 nt
Filed under: uncultured bacterium
Lineage: Bacteria
Description: partial 16S ribosomal RNA
Rfam family: Bacterial small subunit ribosomal RNA
Source: RNAcentral